Molecule: ribosomal RNA, 459 nt
Filed under: uncultured bacterium
Lineage: Bacteria
Description: partial 16S ribosomal RNA
Rfam family: Bacterial small subunit ribosomal RNA
Source: RNAcentral
CCUACGGGUGGCAGCAGUGAGGAAUAUUGGUCAAUGGCCACAGGGCUGAACCAGCCAAGUCGCGUGAGGGAUGACGGUCCUAUGGAUUGUAAACCUCUUUUGUCAGGGAGCAAAGGGAGCCACGUGUGGCGUUUUGCGAGUACCUGAAGAAAAAGGAUCGGCUAACUCCGUGCCAGCAGCCGCGGUAAUACGGAGGAUGCGAGCGUUAUCCGGAUUUAUUGGGGUAAAAGGGUGCGAAGGUGGAAUGUAAAGUCAGGGGUAAAAGUUCGGGGCUCAACCCCGGAGGGCCGUUGAAACUGGGGGUCUUGAGUGAGCGAGAAGUAGGCGGAAUGCGUGGUGUAGCGGUGAAAUGCAUAGAUAUCACGCAGAACUCCGAUUGCGAAGGCAGCUUCCCGGCGCUCAACUGACGCUCAUGCACGAAAGCGUGGGUAGCGAACAGGAUUAGAUACCCUAGUAGUC